This 470-nucleotide ribosomal RNA is filed under the name Pseudomonas monteilii. Its description in RNAcentral is "bacterial SSU rRNA". It matches the Rfam family "Bacterial small subunit ribosomal RNA", at positions 417 to 880 of the family's 1533-position model. Lineage: Bacteria; Pseudomonadati; Pseudomonadota; Gammaproteobacteria; Pseudomonadales; Pseudomonadaceae. The record is from RNAcentral.
UUCGGAUUGUAUAGCACUUUAAGUGGGAGGAAGGGCAGUAAGUUAAUNCCUUGCUGUUUUGACGUUACCGACAGAAUAAGCNCCGGCUAACUNUGUGCCAGCAGCCGCGGUAAUACAUAGGGNGCAAGCGUUAAUUGGAAUUACUGGGCAUAAAGCGCGCGUAGGUGGUUUGUUAAGUUGGAUGUGAAAGCCCCGGGCUCAACCUGGGAACUGCAUCCAAANCUGGCAAGCUAGAUUACGGUAGAGGGUGGUGGAAUUUCCUGUGUAGCGGUGAAANGCGUAGAUAUAGGAAGGANCACCAGUGGCGAAGGCGACCACCUGGACUGAUACUGACACUGAGGUGCGAAAGCGUGGGGAGCAAACAGGAUCCGAUACCCUGGUAGUNCACGCCGUAAACGAUGUCAACUAGCCGUUGGAAUCCUUGAGAUUUUAGUGGCGCAGCUAACGCAUUAAGUUGACCGCCUGGGGAG